GUUUCAUUUUAAUUUAAAUUAAAAUUUUAUUUUUUAGUUAAAAAGCUAAAAUUUUAUUAAAAGACGAGAAGACCCUAUAAAUCUUUAUAUUUAUUUUUAUUUUAAUUUAUAAAGAUAAAUUUUAUUAUAAUUUAAAUAAAUAUUUUAUUGGGGUGAUAUUAAAAUUUAAAUAACUUUUAAUUAUUAAAUUACAUUGAUUUUUGAAUUAUUGAUCCAUUAAUAAUGAUUAAAAAAUUAAGUUACUUUAGGGAUAACAGCGUAAUUUUUUUGGAGAGUUCUUAUUGAUAAAAAAGUUUGCGACCUCGAUGUUGGAUUAAGAGAUAGUUUUAAUGCAGAAGUUAAAAUAUAAAGUCUGUUCGACUUUUAAAUUCUUACAUGAUCUGAGUUCAAACCGGUGUGAGCCAGGUUGGUUUCUAUCUUUAAUUAUUGUAUAAUAUUUUAGUACGAAAGGAAUUUAUAUUAAAAAUUAUUUUUUAUAUUAAGAAU
RNAcentral lists this ribosomal RNA (486 nucleotides) under Diasemopsis albifacies. Its description in RNAcentral is "partial 16S ribosomal RNA". The stretch from base 250 to 408 matches the Rfam family "Bacterial large subunit ribosomal RNA", at positions 2473 to 2632 of the family's 2925-position model. Lineage: Eukaryota; Metazoa; Arthropoda; Insecta; Diptera; Diopsidae. The record is from RNAcentral.